GAGACUACAUUUCCCCAUCUCCCUUGUGGCUUGGAGUGGCCAAGUGACCAAGUUCUGGAAAUCAUUGUGAGUCAUUUCCACAUUGUGACACUGAAAGGGAAAGUUCAUGCUUUCCUUUGGCCCUUUUCCCCAUCUGCAGGCUAAGAGAUGCCAAAAGAUUAAGCAGCCACCUUGGACCCAGACAUGGCAGAGCUUCUUUACCAGCCCUGGACCACUUACCUCUACUCUGUUAACCUAAAAGAGAAACCAACUUCUAUCUUGUUAAACUACUUGUGUACAAUCUUGGGUCUUUUUCUUAUAGUACCUGCACCCUCCUUAAUAAAACCAUGCAGAGCUAAACUUGCAAAAUUUUAGAAGUACACACCGAGUCACUGGAACAUGAGUAGACAGACCAAUGGGACAAAAGAGAAAGUCCAUCAUAGAACCAAAUACAUACAGAAAAUUAGUACAAAAUCAAAUCAGUGGGGUAAAGAUGGACUUUAUUUUUUACAUGAAUAGUGUUGACACAACCAGGUAUCUAUACUAUAGAAAAAGAUAAAGUUCCAUCUCUUCCUCACACCAUACAGCAGGUUAAAACUCUAAGUGGAAUGAAGAUUUAAUGAAUUUACCCUUUGAGCCAACAUUUUCAUUUCUGCAAAUUUAUUCACGAUAAGGACAUAUCUGCACUUUAUGGAUAAUGUAUGUACAUUUUCUCAUUGUUUGUAAUAGCAAAAGACAGGAAAAAAACUUGUGUCUACCAAUAAGGGAUUAGAUUUUUUAAACUAUAGUAUAUAAUUGAAUGUUAUACUAUAUGAAGUUGUAAGAAAGAAUGAGAAAGCUCUGUAUUUUCAGGAUGUACUUAGGUGAAGAAAGCCAGAUGCAAAAUAGUGUAUAAGUACUAUGCUACCUUUUGUAUAAGAAAGGGGAGAAAUAAAAUAUAUAUUUAUUUUUGCUUGUAUCUGUAUAAAGAAACACUGAAAGGAUAUAUCAGAAACUAAUAAAAUGGUUAGCUAUGAGAGUGGAAAGAGUGGGGUAGAUGGGGACAGGAAUGGGUAUGGGAGUUCUAAAUCUAAGUAUUAUGUAAGUAAUAAUUAUUACUAUUAAGUAUUAAUAGACAGUGCGCAGGCGCGGCGGCGCGCCUCUGCGGGGCGCUGGGCUCACUGCGCACGCGCGGCCAUCAGCUUGGUCCCAGGUGGAGCUGUUUUAGCCGAGCUGGCGCCGCCGUGAGCCUCCGAGAUGAGCGCGGCAGAGGCUGACUGCUGGGCUUGGCUGCUGGUGCUCAGCUUCGUGUUUGGGUGCAAUGUAGUCAGGAUCCUCCUCCCGUCCUUCUCCUCCUUCACGUCCAGGGUGCUGCAGAAGGACGUGGAGCAGGAGUCUCAGAUGCGAGCAGAGAUCCAGGGUAUGAAGCAGGAGCUCUCCACCGUCAACGUGAUGGACGAGUUUGCCAGAUACGCCAGGCUGGAGAGAAAGAUCAACAAGAUGACUGAUAAGCUCAAAACUCACGUGAAAGCACGGACAGCUCAGUUGCCUAAGAUAAAAUGGGUUAUAAGUGUUGCUUUCUACAUAUUGCAAGCUGCCCUGAUGGUCACACUCAUUUGGACAUACUACUCUGUCCCUGUGACCGUGGUGCCGAGUAGAUGGAUAACUCCACUAGAACGCCUGGUAGCAUUUCCCACUGGAGUAGCAGGGCUUGCAGCAAAGGAACUGACGCCUAGAGAACUUACGUGUCCAGUGUCACCGAAAUGUGAAGUAGCAGGGCUACAGUUCAACCCAAGCCUGCCUCAGUAAUCCAAGCCCAAUACCUGGGGUCUGAUACCCCAUUUAUUGAAACACCACCUCUGGUUCCCAAAUUCUGUGACUCCUUUUCAAUUCACACUAUGCUUAGCCCCUCUGCAGCAUUUCCUGCUAUCGGCCAUUCUUUCACUUCUGAAAGAAUUUCUUUUGGGUUUUAAAAUUAGUACAUGUCAUCGUAGAAUGAUUAGA
This is an RNA transcript of Aethalodelphis obliquidens (Pacific white-sided dolphin), 1962 nucleotides long. It is a transcript of the gene named tail-anchored protein insertion receptor WRB pseudogene, with no coding region annotated. The transcript has a single exon. Lineage: Eukaryota; Metazoa; Chordata; Mammalia; Artiodactyla; Delphinidae. The record is from RefSeq and is a predicted model, not a curated record.